Molecule: long non-coding RNA, 495 nt
Filed under: Vulpes vulpes (red fox)
Lineage: Eukaryota; Metazoa; Chordata; Mammalia; Carnivora; Canidae
Description: lncRNA (ENSVVUG00000003657.1)
Source: RNAcentral
CAUGUGCUAUUUCUCCUUCUGAAUCACUUUCCUUUUUUUCCCCCACUUCUUUUUUCUUCCAGGCUAAUUCCUAUUCAGCAUGCAAGAUUCAUCCCAGCAAUGAAUGACCUUCUCUUCGAAGACUGCCUAAGAAGAUGAGAUUUGAGGCUCCUUUCGUGGGAUUUUGUAUAUUAUCAACAUAGUAUUUAGUUUACUUUAUUUUUAUUGCUUUUUUUGCCCCUCUACCUACUAUUUUGGAGAAACUGCUGAAAUCAGAAGUGACUUUGUUCUUUGAGCUAGGCCUAAUUAUAGCUUGUUUGUUUUAAUUGAGGUUUGGAAGACACAGAAGGAUGACCGGCAUUUUCUGUCCCAUAAAAAGGAAUCUGACCAAGGAUCAUCACUGAAUCUCUACCUCCUCCAAGACUAUGCACUCCCUGAGGGCAGAAACUAUACACACUUCUUUCUCCAAGAUCAUAGCAUAGACUUUACAUAAGGUAAAUGUUCAAUAAGUAUUUG